CACCGCGUGAGUGAAGAAGGGUUUCGGCUCGUAAAGCUCUGUUGUUAGAGAAGAACGUGCGUGAGAGCAACUGUUCACGCAGUGACGGUAUCUAACCAGAAAGUCACGGCUAACUACGUGCCAGCAGCCGCGGUAAUACGUAGGUGGCAAGCGUUAUCCGGAUUUAUUGGGCGUAAAGCGAGCGCAGGCGGUUUGAUAAGUCUGAUGUGAAAGCCUUUGGCUUAACCAAAGAAGUGCAUCGGAAACUGUCAGACUUGAGUGCAGAAGAGGACAGUGGAACUCCAUGUGUAGCGGUGGAAUGCGUAGAUAUAUGGAAGAACACCAGUGGCGAAGGCGGCUGUCUGGUCUGCAACUGACGCUGAGGCUCGAAAGCAUGGGUAGCGAACAGGAUUAGAUACCCUGGUAGUCCAUGCCGUAAACGAUGAGUGCUAGGUGUUGGAGGGUUUCCGCCCUUAGUGCCGCAGCUAACGCAUUAAGCACUCCGCCUGGGGAGUACGACCGCAAGGUUGAAACUCAAAGGAAUUGACGGGGGCCCGCACAAGCGGUGGAGCAUGUGGUUUAAUUCGAAGCUACGCGAAGAACCUUACCAGGUCUUGACAUCUUGCGCCAACCCUAGAGAUAGGGCGUUUCCUUCGGGAACGCAAUGACAGGUGGUGCAUGGUCGUCGUCAGCUCGUGUCGUGAGAUGUUGGGUUAAGUCCCGCAACGAGCGCAACCCCUUGUUACUAGUUGCCAGCAUUCAGUUGGGCACUCUAGUGAGACUGCCGGUGAC
This 771-nucleotide ribosomal RNA is filed under the name Limosilactobacillus mucosae. RNAcentral's name for it is "bacterial SSU rRNA". It matches the Rfam family "Bacterial small subunit ribosomal RNA", at positions 395 to 1159 of the family's 1533-position model. The record is from RNAcentral. Lineage: Bacteria; Bacillati; Bacillota; Bacilli; Lactobacillales; Lactobacillaceae.